GUGGGGAAUAUUGGACAAUGGGGGGAACCCUGAUCCAGCCAUGCCGCGUGUGUGAAGAAGGCCUUUUGGUUGUAAAGCACUUUAAGCGAGGAGGAGGCUACCGAGAUUAAUACUCUUGGAUAGUGGACGUUACUCGCAGAAUAAGCACCGGCUAACUCUGUGCCAGCAGCCGCGGUAAUACAGAGGGUGCAAGCGUUAAUCGGAUUUACUGGGCGUAAAGCGCGCGUAGGUGGCCAAUUAAGUCAAAUGUGAAAUCCCCGAGCUUAACUUGGGAAUUGCAUUCGAUACUGGUUAGCUAGAGUAUGGGAGAGGAUGGUAGAAUUCCAGGUGUAGCGGUGAAAUGCGUAGAGAUCUGGAGGAAUACCGAUGGCGAAGGCAGCCAUCUGGCCUAAUACUGACACUGAGGUGCGAAAGCAUGGGGAGCAAACAGGAUUAGAAACCCUAGUAGUCC
This 451-nucleotide ribosomal RNA is filed under the name uncultured bacterium. RNAcentral's name for it is "partial 16S ribosomal RNA". It matches the Rfam family "Bacterial small subunit ribosomal RNA", at positions 354 to 796 of the family's 1533-position model. The record is from RNAcentral.